Small nucleolar RNA from Juglans regia (Persian walnut), 110 nucleotides. RefSeq annotates it as small nucleolar RNA snoR100. The transcript has a single exon. The record is from RefSeq and is a predicted model, not a curated record. Lineage: Eukaryota; Viridiplantae; Streptophyta; Magnoliopsida; Fagales; Juglandaceae.
GAAUGAAGGCAAAUGGUAAUGUGCAUGGAUAUCGAAUUCAAUGGGUCAACAUGUCUGCUUUCUCUGAUGCUUUUCUUGGCUGACUCGUGGCCUGGUUGCUAUUCAUAUCU